UACAGAGGUCUCAAGCGUUGUUCGGAUUCAUUGGGCGUAAAGGGUGCGUAGGCGGCGCGGUAAGUCGGGUGUGAAAUCUCGGAGCUUAACUCCGAAACUGCAUUCGAUACUGCCGUGCUUGAGGACUGGAGAGGAGACUGGAAUUUACGGUGUAGCGGUGAAAUGCGUAGAUAUCGUGAAGGAAGACCAGUGGCGAAGGCGGGUCUCUGGACAGUUCCUGACGCUGAGGCACGGAAGGUCAGGGGAGCAAACGGG
This 255-nucleotide ribosomal RNA is filed under the name uncultured bacterium. RNAcentral describes it as "partial 16S ribosomal RNA". It matches the Rfam family "Bacterial small subunit ribosomal RNA", at positions 524 to 776 of the family's 1533-position model. The record is from RNAcentral.